RNAcentral lists this long non-coding RNA (210 nucleotides) under Capsicum annuum. RNAcentral's name for it is "long non-coding RNA (CANN_LNC021373)". The record is from RNAcentral. Lineage: Eukaryota; Viridiplantae; Streptophyta; Magnoliopsida; Solanales; Solanaceae.
UGGGGGAACAAUUGUAAUCUUGGAAGCACCAUGCUCUGAGAAUGGAAAGAAAGGUUCAAGAACUCCAUGAUGAAUUUGACAAACAAGGAAAGGGCUGCCUCAAUAUGGGAAGCAUGGGAGAAAAGCUAGCACUAUCUUAUCUCUUGACAAGCCUUCACCGUUUUGACAAGACCUUGGAAGUUAACAAGGAGGAGCAACAAGAAAAGGACA